CAUUCCUUUGCGACAACGCAACCGUGACAGUUCUCCCCCAUCUGGACAGACGGGGCAAAAUCCGAAACGAUCGCGAUCGUCAUUCUUUACGAGGCACAAGGCAACCCGAUGGGGCUAAUAAGGGAGAUAAACCCCCCGCCCGUAUAACUUUCCGCAUCCAAAACCACGAGCAAAAGACAUAUGCGCCAACGCAGCCAAGUCAUGGUUUGCGUGGAACACAUGCAUCGCUACGAGGUCGGCCCCGUGCCAUGGCUGGCAAGGGGCGAAGGGGCACAAUCACUACAUUCAAUUUCCACCGUAGUGGGUAAGCAGCACAGGAACCUAGCAUCACCUCGAAAAAAUUUUCGGGUCUUCGUAUCUGAAGGGAUCGUGGCAAAACAGUUCGGUGCGCGAAGCAUGGAGCCUGCCUUCCCAAACGAUCCUAACACCACUCACGCGC
Molecule: unclassified non-coding RNA, 439 nt
Filed under: Turnera harleyi
Lineage: Eukaryota; Viridiplantae; Streptophyta; Magnoliopsida; Malpighiales; Passifloraceae
Description: partial external transcribed spacer
Source: RNAcentral